UACAGAGGUGGCAAGCGUUGUUCGGAAUUACUGGGCGUAAAGCGUGCGUAGGUGGUUUGUUAAGUCUGCUGUGAAAGCCCUGGGCUCAACCUGGGAAUGGCGGUGGAUACUGACAAGCUAGAGUGCGGUAGAGGAGGGUGGAAUUCCCGGUGUAGCGGUGAAAUGCGCAGAUAUCGGGAGGAACACCGGUGGCGAAGGCGGUUCUCUGGGCCUGUACUGACGCUGAGGAGCGAAAGCGUGGGGAGCGAACAGG
This 253-nucleotide ribosomal RNA is filed under the name uncultured bacterium. Its description in RNAcentral is "partial 16S ribosomal RNA". It matches the Rfam family "Bacterial small subunit ribosomal RNA", at positions 524 to 776 of the family's 1533-position model. The record is from RNAcentral.